GCACCUUUAGCUCAGCUGGAUAGAGUACUCGGCUACGAACCGAGCGGUCGGAGGUUCGAAUCCUCCAAGGUGCACCA
This 77-nucleotide transfer RNA is filed under the name Oceanisphaera profunda. RNAcentral describes it as "tRNA-Arg". It matches the Rfam family "tRNA". From Rfam's summary of the family: Transfer RNA (tRNA) molecules are approximately 80 nucleotides in length. Their secondary structure includes four short double-helical elements and three loops (D, anti-codon, and T loops). Further hydrogen bonds mediate the characteristic L-shaped molecular structure. tRNAs have two regions of fundamental functional importance: the anti-codon, which is responsible for specific mRNA codon recognition, and the 3' end, to which the tRNAs corresponding amino acid is attached (by aminoacyl-tRNA synthetases). tRNAs cope with the degeneracy of the genetic code in two manners: having more than one tRNA (with a specific anti-codon) for a particular amino acid; and 'wobble' base-pairing, i.e. permitting non-standard base-pairing at the 3rd anti-codon position. Lineage: Bacteria; Pseudomonadati; Pseudomonadota; Gammaproteobacteria; Aeromonadales; Aeromonadaceae. The record is from RNAcentral. RNAcentral also lists the same sequence under 2 other names.